This is a non-coding RNA of Phthorimaea operculella (potato tuberworm), 73 nucleotides long. The record is from the annotation of a GenBank genome assembly. Lineage: Eukaryota; Metazoa; Arthropoda; Insecta; Lepidoptera; Gelechiidae.
GCCGCCGGUAGCUCAGAUAGCAGAGCAGUGGGACGGUACUACACGGUCCCAGGUUCAAAUCCUGGCCGAGGCU